Musa acuminata subsp. malaccensis (wild Malaysian banana) is the source of this 853-nucleotide non-coding RNA. The record is from RefSeq and is a predicted model, not a curated record. Lineage: Eukaryota; Viridiplantae; Streptophyta; Magnoliopsida; Zingiberales; Musaceae.
UGUUGCGGAAGGUUUGGUCUUGUGGUUGGUUCUUGGCGACGAAAUGGCUUCUACACCUAUCGACCCACUUGUCCGCUCUCCUCUUUAAUCCGGCUGAGAACGCGGCGAGGUUCAAUCCAAAUGGCCACUGGGUUCUGUCUCUUCUUCGUCUUAUAUUAAUUGUUGUUUGGAUGAUGCCCGAGGCAACCCUCGUUCCUCAGCCGCGCUCCCCCUUCCCUCUCCCUCAGCGCCUCUUCCUUCGUUUCUUGGAUCGAGAUGGUCCGCUUCGGUGGAUGGAUCCGGUUCUUGAUGUCGAUCCUCCGAGUUCUCAUGGAGCGGCCCGUCCCGAGCGAACUCGAGCUCGUUUUCUGAUCCCAGAUGGGAUUUUUACGCAGGUGAAUGAUGAGAUGGUUCGAUUUCGUGGAUAGAUUCGGUUCUUGCUCUCGUUCCUCCGAUUUCUCAUGGAGAGGCCCGGCCGGAGCAAAGUCCAGCUCCUCUUCUGAUCCCAGCUACACUUCCAGAUUUCUUCUUCCACGUUCCAUUCUGGUGAUUCUGGUGCGUGUGUUAAUCUCCUCAAGACUCGACCUUUGGCACGUGAUGAUGAAGCCGAACACCACUGAGGAUGAACGCAAUGAUCUUGACAAGAAAAAGGGCAGAGGGAUGUCGAGGAGGCAGAUUGGUGGAUCUUUGCAGAGAUCUCUGCAAACAGCAAUCCUCCAUGGCAUCAGCAACAAUUCUUGACUCUGCUCUUGACUUCCUUCUGAGAUGUAGAUACGCAGGGAAAGCUGUCCAUGUUGCUAAUAGCUUAGAUGUCCUUUGUUUUCUUCCUUCUCCUUCUUUGGAAGAUCACCUUCCUUUCGAAAUGCUCUUUAGU